Molecule: ribosomal RNA, 392 nt
Filed under: uncultured bacterium
Lineage: Bacteria
Description: bacterial SSU rRNA
Rfam family: Bacterial small subunit ribosomal RNA
Source: RNAcentral
GGCGGCAAGCUUAACACAUGCAAGUCGAACGCCCUCUUCGGAGGGAGUGGCAGACGGGUGAGUAACGCGUGGGAACGUGCCUUUUGGUUCGGAACAACUGAGGGAAACUUCAGCUAAAACCGGAUAAGCCCUUCGGGGGAAAGUUUACGCCAAAAGAUCGGCCCGCGUUAGAUUAGCUAGUUGGUGGGGUAAUGGCCUACCAAGGCGACGAUCUAUAGCUGUUCUGAGAGGAAGAUCAGCCACACUGGGACUGAGACACGGCCCAGACUCCUACGGGAGGCAGCAGUGGGGAAUAUUGGACAAUGGGCGCAAGCCUGAUCCAGCUAUGCCGCGUGGAUGAAGAAGGCCCUAGGGUUGUAAAGUCCUUUCGCUAGGGAAGAUAAUGACGGUAC